ACACCUCAACUCUCGUGGCUUGCCAUGAUGAGCUUGGACUUUGGGGGUUUUGCUGGCCUACGGCCGGCUCCUCUCAAAUGAAUUAGCUUGCCAGUGUUUGGUGGCAUCACAGGUGUGAUAAAUAUCUACGCUUGUGGUUUUCCACCAGGUAACCUUCAGUGGAUGGAGGUUCGCUGGGGCUCAUAAACGUCUCUCCUCAGUGAGGACAGCUCUUUGAAC
RNAcentral lists this unclassified non-coding RNA (219 nucleotides) under uncultured Tomentella. RNAcentral describes it as "sequence contains ITS2". Lineage: Eukaryota; Fungi; Basidiomycota; Agaricomycetes; Thelephorales; Thelephoraceae. The record is from RNAcentral.